UCCGAGUUGACCCCGGCAGUCUCCUAUGAGUCCCCACCAUGACGUGCUGGCAACAUAGAACGAGGGUUGCGCUCGUUGCGGGACUUAACCCAACAUCUCACGACACGAGCUGACGACAACCAUGCACCACCUGUGCACGGCCCUUACGGACCCACCAUCUCUGGAGGAUUUCCGUGCAUGUCAAGCCUAGGUAAGGUGGGGAUGACGUGGGAGGAAUUCCA
RNAcentral lists this unclassified non-coding RNA (221 nucleotides) under uncultured Geodermatophilaceae bacterium. RNAcentral's name for it is "contains 16S-23S intergenic spacer region". Lineage: Bacteria; Bacillati; Actinomycetota; Actinomycetes; Geodermatophilales; Geodermatophilaceae. The record is from RNAcentral.